Long non-coding RNA from Salmo salar (Atlantic salmon), 627 nucleotides. RefSeq lists it as uncharacterized. The record is from RefSeq and is a predicted model, not a curated record. NCBI's taxonomy places the organism in Eukaryota, Metazoa, Chordata, Actinopteri, Salmoniformes, Salmonidae.
CGUUACCUAUAUAUUAAUUAAAGCCAGAUCAGAGUUCUUUAUCAAUAAUGGGACAUUUAAAAUAAAUAACACAGAGAGGAGUGAUUCUGCUAAAUAUUGUUUAGAAAUCCAUAAUUCAGAAGGAAGGUACUUGGAGACCAGAGGAGUACAACUGAUAAUUGGAGGAGGAUCUUAUGGGCCUGUCAUAGGGUCACUAGUAGCUGUGGUCCUGGUCCUUGCAGUGGUGGUGGGAGUUUACUGUAUUCGCAAGAGGAGGAACCCUCCACAGGCACCAGAUGCUGAUGAGAGUCCAGAACUGGAAUGUGAUGACAGAGGGAAACAGAGGGAGGCUCCAGAGGAGGUGGUGUAUGGACAGAUUGUAGUGCUGGAGGGUGCCAAACCAAACACUGAGAGAGACAGACCUGAGGGGCAGGAGGAGACUUUGUAUGCUGGAAUACAGCUUGGCCAAUGAGAGCUGCAUGUUCGAAGGGUUGGUCUUUUUGAAGUUGUAUGGAUGCCUUGUUCCUACAUUUGUUACUGAAACGAAUUGGAUUAACUUUCCCAUAUUACUGUUAUAUUUCAUGACAUUCAAUGCUGAGGGUUUUGUACAUUCUUUACCUAAAUAAAUAACCCAACAACUGGACUGUC